RNAcentral lists this ribosomal RNA (433 nucleotides) under uncultured bacterium. RNAcentral describes it as "partial 16S ribosomal RNA". It matches the Rfam family "Bacterial small subunit ribosomal RNA", at positions 29 to 507 of the family's 1533-position model. The record is from RNAcentral.
AACGAACGCUGGCGGCAUGCCUAACACAUGCAAGUCGAACGAAGGCUUCGGCCUUAGCGGCGCACGGGUGCGUAACGCGUGGGAAUCUGCCCUUUGGUUCGGAAUAACAGCUGGAAACGGCUGCUAAUACCGGAUGAUGACGAAAGUCCAAAGAUUUAUCGCCAGAGGAUGAGCCCGCGUUGGAUUAGGUAGUUGGUGGGGUAAAGGCCUACCAAGCCGACGAUCCAUAGCUGGUCUGAGAGGAUGAUCAGCCACACUGGGACUGAGACACGGCCCAGACUCCUACGGGAGGCAGCAGUGGGGAAUAUUGGACAAUGGGCGCAAGCCUGAUCCAGCAAUGCCGCGUGAGUGAUGAAGGCCCUAGGGUUGUAAAGCUCUUUUACCCGGGAAGAUAAUGACUGUACCGGGAGAAUAAGCCCCGGCUAACUCCGUG